This 505-nucleotide ribosomal RNA is filed under the name uncultured bacterium. RNAcentral describes it as "partial 16S ribosomal RNA". It matches the Rfam family "Bacterial small subunit ribosomal RNA", at positions 28 to 507 of the family's 1533-position model. The record is from RNAcentral.
GACGAACGCUGGCGGCGUGCCUAAUACAUGCAAGUAGAACGCACAGUUUAUACCGUAGCUUGCUACACCAUAGACUGUGAGUUGCGAACGGGUGAGUAACGCGUAGGUAACCUGCCUGGUAGCGGGGGAUAACUAUUGGAAACGAUACCUAAUACCGCAUAAUACUGAUUAUUGCAUGAUAAUUGAUUGAAAGAUGCUAUUGCAUCGCUACCAGAUGGACCUGCGUUGUAUUAGCUAGUAGGGGAGGUAACGGCUCACCUAAGCGAAGAUACAUAGCCGAACUGGGAGGGGGGAUGGCCACACUGGGAAUGGGGAAAGGCCCAGAAUCCUACGGGAGGGAGGAGGAGGGGAACUUCGGGAAAGGGCGGAAGGCUGAACGGGGAACGCCGCGUGAGGGAAGGAGGGUUUCGGGUCGUAAAGCUCUGUUUUAAGGGGAGAAAGGAUGUGGGAGUGGAAAGUUCACGUUGUGACGGUAUCUAACCAGAAAGGGACGGCUAACUACGUG